UACGAAGGGGGCUAGCGUUGCUCGGAAUCACUGGGCGUAAAGCGCACGUAGGCGGAUUGUUAAGUCGAGGGGUGAAAUCCUGGAGCUCAACUCCAGAACUGCCUUUGAUACUGGCAAUCUCGAGUCCGGGAGAGGUGAGUGGAACUCCGAGUGUAGAGGUGAAAUUCGUAGAUAUUCGCAAGAACACCAGUGGCGAAGGCGGCUCACUGGCCCGGUACUGACGCUGAGGUGCGAAAGCGUGGGGAGCAAACAGG
This 254-nucleotide ribosomal RNA is filed under the name uncultured bacterium. RNAcentral describes it as "partial 16S ribosomal RNA". It matches the Rfam family "Bacterial small subunit ribosomal RNA", at positions 524 to 776 of the family's 1533-position model. The record is from RNAcentral.